Molecule: ribosomal RNA, 477 nt
Filed under: uncultured bacterium
Lineage: Bacteria
Description: partial 16S ribosomal RNA
Rfam family: Bacterial small subunit ribosomal RNA
Source: RNAcentral
GAUUAACGCUGGCGGCGUGCAUAACACAUGCAAGUCGAACGAUGAAACUUAAAUGAUUUCUUCGGAAUGAACUUAAGUGGAUUAGUGGCGGACGGGUGAGUAACGCGUGAGUAACCUGCCUUACACAAGGGGAUAGCCGUUGGAAACGACGAAUAAUACCCUAUGAAACUAUCACUUCGCAUGAAGCGAUAGUCAAAGUGUUAGCGGUGUAAGAUGGACUUGCGUCUGAUUAGCUAGUUGGUGAGAAAAAAGCCCACCAAGGCAACGAUCAGUAGCCGGCUUGAGAGAGUGUACGGCCACAUUGGGACUGAGACACGGCCCAGACUCCUACGGGAGGCAGCAGUGGGGAAUUUUGCACAAUGGGAGAAACCCUGAUGCAGCGACGCCGCGUGAUUUAGAAGGCCUUCGGGUUGUAAAAAUCUUUUGUAUAGGAAGAAAAUGACAGUACUAUACGAAUAAGGUCCGGCUAAUUACGUG